Molecule: unclassified non-coding RNA, 285 nt
Filed under: Hevea brasiliensis (rubber tree)
Lineage: Eukaryota; Viridiplantae; Streptophyta; Magnoliopsida; Malpighiales; Euphorbiaceae
Source: RNAcentral
AGAUCUGGUGUCCAAACUCGGAGUUUGGCAGGAUGAAGUUGAUGACCUCGGUGAACUCGGUGAACUACCAGAAAUUCUGGGUGAUAUCUCUCGGGACCGGAGUAGCAAACAAGGAGGAGAAGUUUAAUGCAGAAGAAGCGGGUAAAUGGGGCAUGUUUGGGUGGUUGUCCAACCGGGGCUCUACUCCCUUGAUAGAUUUUUUCAUGGAGGCAAGUUCAGACAUGGUAGACAUUAAUGUGUCUGUUGCCUUCAAGGCUCUCCAUGCAGAGAGUAACUAUCUUCGCA